RNAcentral lists this ribosomal RNA (1510 nucleotides) under metagenome. RNAcentral's name for it is "bacterial SSU rRNA". It matches the Rfam family "Bacterial small subunit ribosomal RNA". The record is from RNAcentral.
AGAGUUUGAUCCUGGCUCAGAACGAACGCUGGCGGCGUGGCUAACACAUGCAAGUCGAACGCGAACGGCUCUUCGGAGCUUAUUAGAGUGGCGAAAGGGCGAGGAAUACUUGGGUAACGUACCCUACACACCGGGAUAACUGUGGGAAACUACAGAUAAUACUGGAUGAGACCACGACUCGUAAGAGUUGUGCUCAAAGGGCGGGGAUCUCUUCGGAGACCCGUUGGUGUGGGAGCGGCCCAAGUCCUAUCAGGUUGUUGGUGAGGUAAUGGCUCACCAAGCCUACGACGGGUACCGGGACUGAGAGGUUGAUCCGGCGCAUUGGGACUGAGACACUGCCCAGACUCCUACGGGAGGCUGCAGUAACGAAUAUUGGACAAUGAGCGAAAGCUUGAUCCAGCGACGCCGCGUGUAGGAUGAAGUCCCUCGGGAUGUAAACUACUGUCAGGGACUACCAAGCAAGGACUGUUAAUACCGGUCUGCGUUGAGGAAUCCCAGAGGAAGCCACGGCUAACUUCGUGCCAGCAGCCGCGGUAAGACGAAGGUGGCGAGCGUUGUUCGGAAUUACUGGGCUUAAAGCGCAUGUAGGCGGAUCAUCAGGUGUCUUGUGAAAGCCCUCGGCUCAACCGAGGAACUGCUGGGCAAACCGAUGAUCUUGAGGCAGGUAGGGGCAACGGGAACUCUUGGUGGAGCGGUGGAAUGCGUAGAUAUCAAGAGGAACGCCAGAGGCGAAGGCGCGUUGCUGGGCCUGUCCUGACGCUGAGAUGCGAAAGCGUGGGUAGCGAACGGGAUUAGAUACCCCGGUAGUCCACGCCCUAAACGAUGUCAACUAGAUCGAGGGUUCUCUGACGGAUUCUUGGUCGAAAUGAAAACGGUAAGUUGACCGCCUGGGGAGUACGGUCGCAAGGCUAAAACUCAAAGGAAUUGACGGGGGCUCACACAAGCGGUGGAGCAUGUUGCUUAAUUCGAUCAACGCGAAGAACCUUAUCCUGGGCUUGACAUAUUUGGAUGACCAUCUGGAAACAGAGUAGUCUGCUCUUCGGAGUGAAACUUAUACAGGUGCUGCAUGGCUGUCGUCAGCUCGUGUCGUGAGAUGUUGGGUUAAGUCCCGUAACGAGCGAAACCCUUGUCGUUAGUUGCCAGCGCGUUAUGGCGGGGACUCUAGCGAGACUGCCGGUGUUAAACCGGAGGAAGGUGGGGAUGACGUCAAGUCCUCAUGGCCUUUAUGCCCAGGGCUGCAAACGUGCUACAAUGGCGUGUACAAACCGACGCAAGACCGCGAGGUGGAGCAAAUCGGAAAAAACACGCCCCAGUUCGGAUUGGAGUCUGCAACUCGACUCCAUGAAGUCGGAAUCGCUAGUAAUCGCGUAUCAGCGUGACGCGGUGAAUGAGUUCCUGAGCCUUGUACACACCGCCCGUCAAGUCAUGGAAGCUGGUAGCACCCGAAGUCGCCCUAUUUCAGGGGUGCCGAAGGUGAGAUCGGUAACUGGGACUAAGUCGUAACAAGGUA